ACUAGAAACUACAUAGGCGGUGGAGAAAAGGAAUUGGGGGAAAAGAAAGUUAGGGUUCAUAUCCAUUUAGUUCAAUCGAUUCGUUUGAGGGAGGUGGCCGGAGUGGGUGGAAGGGCGGCAGAUGCUACGAGGGUCAACAAUUGGGGGUCGUAGAUCGGGGUAGUAAAAUAAGGUUGCAGGGCGGUUAAUGGAGGCUGGAGAUUGUGUGUGUUUGAGGGUCGUGGCGACGUCGCCACUGUUAAUCUAAGAGAGGAUUGGGGGUCGCAGAUCAGGGUAGCAAGAUAGGGGUCAGAUUGUAUUACGUUUUCAUACAUAUAUUUAUAUGCGGAUGUUUCUGGGAGGUAUCAACUGGAUUACACCCAAAAUCGAGGUCACUAGAAUUGAAAGUGCAGGAGGAGAACAGAGAGUUUAAUCCAUUGUCACAUGGUGAGACAGGAGAAGAUUCGUUGACUCAUCUUCCUUUUCAGGUUCUAAGUUGGAAACCUCGUGUUAUCCUUCCCUAGUUUUUCAAUGCCAGAACUGUGUGAAAGCAAAUUAAUAUAGCAAAGGCAAGUCUUGUACCUUCAAGCUUGGCUUUACGCAAGGGAGAAAAAGCAGAAAAAUUUAAAGGAGUUCGCACAAGCUCCGUGACAUUUAUAAAGGCAUCUGAAGACAAAAGUGGAACCUUGGACAUCAUUGAAGAUAAAAUAUCAAGCGCCACAAUGAUUCCUCGCCCUCAUGGUGAGGUAUGCAGGUCCAACUUUAGCUACUUUUCUAGUCCGAGAUAUCAUGUUUGCUGAAACAAUUUAGUCAGUUAGUUAAUGUUCCUUUAGUUCUGUAAAUCAGUUUCCUGCUAAUGUACUAUCAUGUAAAUUUAAGGUGUCUGGUCAACCAUAGAAACCAGGUAGUCUUCUUCACCAUGUAAAUCAAUGGUACCUUGUCAAACUAGAGUUACCAGAUGUUGUUCUCAAUGAGGCAAAGUACUUGUUACUAUUGGUGUAUCCAGAAACUUCAAUAGUUCAAUUUAUCAUGCUAGGUAUUUUCGAUGGACAUCGUUAGAACAUAUAUAAUGCUCUGUAAUAAACACACUACAGUACCAAUAUUCUAAUUUAUAAAACUUAUAGAGCAUAUUAUCAUUAACUCUAAAAUUAAAUUGUGAUGUUUCGGCAUUGUUAUAUUCAUUUAUUUGCAUGUAUAUGGUUUAUUAUCAAGUUUAAUCUUAAACUACAUGCAAAUAUGUUAACUGCAUAUUUAAGCAACAUGCUUUAGUGCACAGAGUGCAGUUGUCAUGCUGCCAUCCGAAUGAAGAAUCCUGCCAGCAAUCUGCCAAGUCACCGAUGAACUCUAGAUUUCAUUACUGCACCACCAAGGCACAUACCUAAUGAUGGAGUUCACAACUAUAGAAACACAUAUUGACUCAUAUACAAGGCCAAGUUGAUUAAUUUUCGGUGACGUUGCAAUUAAAGAUAGAUUAAUUUAUGUUUUGUUUAUUGUAUAUCUUUAGGUUAUUUAGAUAUUUGGGAUUUGUCAUCCUCACCGGACAUAUUGGUGGAUAUUUGAUGAUAUAUUUGGUUGGCUGUAAUGGUGUUUAUUA
Daucus carota subsp. sativus is the source of this 1573-nucleotide long non-coding RNA. RefSeq lists it as uncharacterized. The transcript is spliced from 4 exons. Lineage: Eukaryota; Viridiplantae; Streptophyta; Magnoliopsida; Apiales; Apiaceae. The record is from RefSeq and is a predicted model, not a curated record.